AUACAGAAUAUCCCUUCUCCGAUUGCCACCUUUAAGAUGGGAAACAUACACAAGCUCUCUCAGAACUACGAGAAGUGUGUGAAGGAUAUUAGAGCUGCUAUGGAUACCACCGAUGUGAAGUUUACAAUCGUUGAUGGUGGAAAGGACACAACUGUUCCUGUCACUCCGGGCGAAGAUAACACAAGCCGUGGGGUAUAUGUGAUUAAAAUCACAGACGGCCAGUACAACCUCUCUCUGGUGCCUACUAAACACCAGGCUUGGUUCAGGGGGAUUGUUACUAACAAUGGAGGCAGAUAUGAGAUUGACAAGAUGCUAACCAAGAUGAUGAAGGGCUCUACAUCACUUCAUACCGAUGGGCAGUAUCCACAUUUGCUGUCUGGUGGAGAUAAAGUUGAAGCACUAAAGGUGGGAUUUCAUCGAUUGCUCCAUGCCUUCCCUGCUUUGGCUACUCUUGGGAAGGAUGAGAACAAAAAGGUCACGUCCGAGCAUAAGGAGGCUUUGGCUGUGCUAAUAGUCAUGUUCUUCGAAGGGCCACGUUUCCCUGAUGUGGAAAAUUUGGUGAAGCGCCUACUGACCCGUAUGGAGGACGGUGUGGUUGGGGAAUCGAAUGGAAAACUGAUAACUAGCUGGUGUUAUACCAGCGAAAUUUUUUACGAU
RNAcentral lists this ribosomal RNA (657 nucleotides) under Triticum aestivum (bread wheat). Its description in RNAcentral is "partial small subunit ribosomal RNA". The record is from RNAcentral. Lineage: Eukaryota; Viridiplantae; Streptophyta; Magnoliopsida; Poales; Poaceae.